GCAGUCAUAUAAUUAUUCUAGUGCUACCAAAUUAAUACGUGUGGAAGAAAGAAUGGAGAAGACAUCAUUCCUAAAGGUUUUCUUGGUGUCCUUUUUCCUUAUUUUGUUAGGUAAGUACUAAUCCAACUCUCUUUUAUGGGUCCGUUUUCUAUAUAUAUUGCAAGUAGCUUUUGAUUUUUUCUUAAAAAAAUUGUUUAAUCAUAUAAUUUGUCAAGUUUUAUCACUCCAAGAUCCCAAAAGCUAGAAAAAAGUGAUUUUUUGAGUCUGAGGUCUUUUGUUUUUUAAAGACUCCAAUUAUAAUUCUAUCUAUCUAACGACUCAACAAAUAUAUUUUUACUAAAGAGAUUGUUUGUAGAAAUGUGAAGAUUAUAUUAAAAAUUAAUUAAUUACUACAUUAUUAUUAUUAUUUAUUUAUUUGCAAGUGAUGGACAGUGGCGGAGCCAGAAUUUUCAUUGAGGGGUUCAGAAGUAAAUAUACGGACUAGUCGAAGGGGGUUCGACAUCUACUACAUAUAUAAAAAUAUUUUUGACCAUGUAAAAAUAGUAUAAUCUUCCGACGAAGGGGGUUCAGAUGAACCCCUAACUUCAAUGUGGCUCCGCCACUGGCGAUGGAUCUUCAUAAGCCAUAAUUAAUUGUGAUUUGACAAAUUGUAAUAGCUGGCAAUUCUAUUAUUAGUAGUUUUUAUUAAAUAUUAUCUUAUAAUUUUUAGAUAAUAUUUUAUCUAAUUCACUAUAAGAAUGAUUAUUUUGUGUCAAAUUAUGGGUAUCAUUAAUAAUUUUACAACUUAUGAGCAUAAAUCAUCUUUCUUAUUUAUUUUUUUCGUUGAAAAAGUGAAAUAUUUUUGCCAAAAUCUAUGGCCGGACAAAUGAAAAUUUCAAACCAAACUUCACCCAAAUUUAGUUUACCAAAAAUAUUUGGGCAUCUAUGGCCAUAAAGCUAUAUUCCAAUUAUGAGCAAUUUGAAUUAUAACUUAUACAACAAUGCCAAUGGUGUAAUCAGGACAAGGAAGCAAUGGGGGGCUUUUGUGCAAUGAGGAUGAAGACUGUGAUCACCAAUUGAUAUGCAACGUUGGUUCUCCAGUAUGUGACAUAAGGACACGUACUUGCUAUUGUCCAAUAGCUUAUCAUGGACAAAAAGUGCUUAAGGCCAAUAACAAAGACUGAUUUAUCUAGUUUCCUUGUACAAUAAUUUUAUAGGAGUAAUUGAAAAAGCUAGUCCUAGGCAUCUGGGCAAAAGACUG
RNAcentral lists this long non-coding RNA (1240 nucleotides) under Capsicum annuum. RNAcentral's name for it is "long non-coding RNA (CANN_LNC005955)". Lineage: Eukaryota; Viridiplantae; Streptophyta; Magnoliopsida; Solanales; Solanaceae. The record is from RNAcentral.